CCUCAAUCUCCUUGUGCUGUUGGCGACCCUCUUCCUUGUAAGUGCAGGUUGGGUCUUAGCUGACAAUUUGGAGAAAACUCCAGUCGAUGAACUUCGUGAAAGGGGAUUCCAGGUCACUGACGGCUGUGUAAACCACAAGCAUGGAGACCAGUGGGCAUCUACCACAAAGGGGCUGAACUGUGCAUGCUCCAGGGGGCGCAGCCUCUGCUACCCCGUGACCUGUCUGCCAGACACUCGCCUCGCUGUAUUCAAGGGCCGCUGGGACUGUGUCUUCGACGACGACGACGAAUAUGACAAGCA
Long non-coding RNA from Branchiostoma floridae (Florida lancelet), 300 nucleotides. RefSeq lists it as uncharacterized. The transcript is spliced from 3 exons. Lineage: Eukaryota; Metazoa; Chordata; Leptocardii; Amphioxiformes; Branchiostomatidae. The record is from RefSeq and is a predicted model, not a curated record.